Molecule: ribosomal RNA, 429 nt
Filed under: bacterium
Lineage: Bacteria
Description: partial 16S ribosomal RNA
Rfam family: Bacterial small subunit ribosomal RNA
Source: RNAcentral
UAGGGAAUUUUCGGCAAUGGGGGCAACCCUGACCGAGCAACGCCGCGUGAGUGAAGAAGGUUUUCGGAUCGUAAAGCUCUGUUGUAAGAGAAGAACGUGUGUGAGAGUGGAAAGUUCACACAGUGACGGUAACUUACCAGAAAGGGACGGCUAACUACGUGCCAGCAGCCGCGGUAAUACGUAGGUCCCGAGCGUUGUCCGGAUUUAUUUGGCGUAAAGCGAGCGCAGGCGGUUUAAUAAGUCUGAAGUUAAAGGCAGUGGCUUAACCAUUGUUCGCUUUGGAAACUGUUAAACUUGAGUGCAGAAGGGGAGAGUGGAAUUCCAUGUGUAGCGGUGAAAUGCGUAGAUAUAUGGAGGAACACCGGUGGCGAAAGCGGCUCUCUGGUCUGUAACUGACGCUGAGGCUCGAAAGCGUGGGGAGCAAACAGG